AACGAACGCUGGCGGCAGGCUUAACACAUGCAAGUCGAACGAGAUCUUCGGAUCUAGUGGCAGACGGGUGAGGAACACGUGGGAACAUCCCUUUCAGUUCGGAAUAACGUUGGGAAACUAACGCUAAUACCGGAUACGUCCUUCGGGAGAAAGAUUUAUCGCUGAAAGAUUGGCCCGCGUCUGAUUAGCUAGUUGGUGAGGUAACGGCCCACCAAGGCUACGAUCAGUAGCUGAUCUGAGAGGAUGAUCAGCCACAUUGGGACUGAGACACGGCCCAAACUCCUGCGGGAGGCAGCAUUGGGGAAUAUUGGACAAUGGGCGCAAGCCUGUUCCAGCCAUGCCGCGUGAGUCAUGACGGCCUUCGGGUUGUAAAGCUCUUUUGUCCGGGAAGAUAAUGACUGUACCGGAAGAAUAAGCCCCGGCAAACUUCGUGCCAGCAGCCGCCGUAA
RNAcentral lists this ribosomal RNA (449 nucleotides) under uncultured bacterium. RNAcentral's name for it is "partial 16S ribosomal RNA". It matches the Rfam family "Bacterial small subunit ribosomal RNA", at positions 29 to 523 of the family's 1533-position model. The record is from RNAcentral.